AUUAUUUAAGAGCUUAGCCCAGUUAAAAUAAUAAACAUCCGACCCACUAAUAAAGUAGCUGAUUCGGUUGAUGGGGGAGGUGAAAAGUCUGGAUUGAUGAGGAGAAAGUACGGUGAAUUAAUUGCAUGCCAUUGAUACUGAUUUACUCCAUUGACGGAAUUGAGGGGAGAAGAUUUGAUGGUUGCGUCGACAAUGAAGAAGUAGAAGACGCUUGCUUGUAACCUACUUUAUUAGUGGGUCGGAUGUUUAUUAUUUUAACUGGGCUAAGCUCUUAAAUAAUAG
Molecule: long non-coding RNA, 282 nt
Filed under: Brassica napus (rape)
Lineage: Eukaryota; Viridiplantae; Streptophyta; Magnoliopsida; Brassicales; Brassicaceae
Description: long non-coding RNA (BNAP_LNC022423)
Source: RNAcentral